UACGGAGGGGGCGAGCGUUAUUCGGAAUUAUUGGGCGUAAAGCGCGCGUAGGCGGCUUUGCAAGUCGGGUGUGAAAUCCCCAGGCUUAACCUGGGAACUGCAUUCGAGACUGCAUUGCUAGAGUAUGGGAGAGGGAAGUGGAAUUUACGGUGUAGCGGUGAAAUGCGUAGAUAUCGUAAGGAAGACCAGUGGCGAAGGCGGGUCUCUGGACAGUUCCUGACGCUGAGGCACGAAGGUCAGGGGAGCAAACGGG
This 253-nucleotide ribosomal RNA is filed under the name uncultured bacterium. RNAcentral describes it as "partial 16S ribosomal RNA". It matches the Rfam family "Bacterial small subunit ribosomal RNA", at positions 524 to 776 of the family's 1533-position model. The record is from RNAcentral.